GACGAACGCUGGCGGCGUGCUUAACACAUGCAAGUCGAACGGAAAGGCCCUGCUUUUGUGGGUUGCUCGAGUGUCGAACGGGUGAGUAACACGUGAGUAACCUGCCCUUGCCUUUGGGAUAACUUCACGAAACUGGGGCUAAUACCGGAUAGGUGCUCCUCCUGCAUGGUGGGGGUUGGAAAGUUGCGGCGGUUGGGGAUGGACUCGCGGCUGCUCCGCUUGUUGGUGGGGUAGUGGCUUACCACGGCUUUGACGGGUAGCCGGGCUGAGAGGGUGACCGGGCAAAGUGGGAGUGAGAUACGGCACAGACUCCUACGGGAGGCAGCAGUGGGGGAGAUUGCACGAUGGGCGGAAGCCGGAUGCAGCAAGGCCGCGUGCGGGAUGACGGCCUUCGGGGUGUAAACAGCUGGCGCGUGUGACGAAGGGGGAGUGACGGUAAUGGGUAAAGAAGCACCGGCUAACUACGUG
This 468-nucleotide ribosomal RNA is filed under the name uncultured bacterium. RNAcentral's name for it is "partial 16S ribosomal RNA". It matches the Rfam family "Bacterial small subunit ribosomal RNA", at positions 28 to 507 of the family's 1533-position model. The record is from RNAcentral.